RNAcentral lists this ribosomal RNA (325 nucleotides) under uncultured eukaryote. RNAcentral's name for it is "partial 18S ribosomal RNA". It matches the Rfam family "Eukaryotic small subunit ribosomal RNA", at positions 1470 to 1796 of the family's 1831-position model. The record is from RNAcentral.
CCCUUAGAUGUCCUGGGCCGCACGCGCGCUACACUGAUGCAUUCAACGAGUUUUACCUUGGCCGAGAGGCCUGGGCAAUCUUUUAAACCUGCAUCGUGAUAGGGAUAGAUUAUUGCAAUUUUUAAUCUUGAACGAGGAAUUCCUAGUAAACGCAAAUCAUCAAUUUGCAUUGAUUACGUCCCUGCCUUUUGUACACACCGCCCGUCGCACCUACCGAUUGAAUGGUCCGGUGAAGCCUCGGGAUUGUGGCCAGUUCACUUUAUUGGGAGUUGGCUGUGAGAACUUGUCUAAACCUUAUCAUUUAGAGGAAGGUGAAGUCGUAACA